This 700-nucleotide ribosomal RNA is filed under the name Paurodontella sp. 1 RH-2019. Its description in RNAcentral is "partial large subunit ribosomal RNA". It matches the Rfam family "Eukaryotic large subunit ribosomal RNA", at positions 409 to 932 of the family's 3401-position model. The record is from RNAcentral. Lineage: Eukaryota; Metazoa; Nematoda; Chromadorea; Rhabditida; Sphaerulariidae.
UAAGAUGGAAACUGAUAAGUUGACGUAUCUGCUUGUAUUCAGCUUCUCGGCGAUCGGAGUGAAUUGUUUUCGUCCCGCUUUGGGCCGAAGCGAUUUCUGCCGUUUCGCAACCGGUUGGCCUACGAGCAGUGCAUUUGCAAGUGGAGUGCGCCGAGGCGUGCUGGUUAUCGAUUGGAAGCCGGUUAGAGGAUACCCGCCUUACGGCGAGUAAACCCGGGCCGGUGAAAGAUUGUUUGGCUGGCAUUGUUGAUUGAAUGGCUGCGGUCGGCACGGGAUUAGGUUGGUCGGGUGUGGGUGGCGGUCUGCAUGGGCAGGCGCCUGUCUAUUCGGCCCAAUUUGGUUCGGGUCCCUCGGCUUUGACCUCGGUGUAAAAGUCGAUCAUCUAUCCGACCCGUCUUAAACACGGACCAAGGAGUUUAGCGUGUGCGCGAGUCAUUGGGUGUUUAAAACUCAAAGGCGUAAUGAAAGUAAAGGCGUCUUUAAUGUUGACUUAUAUGCGAUCCGGUUGGUUUCGACCCGCGGCGCAGCAUAGCCCCGCUCCGAUUGCUUCAAUGGGGCGGAGGUAGAAAUCGUAUGCCCUAGACCCGAAAGAUGGUGAACUAUGCCUGAGCAGGAUAAGCCAGAGGUAAACCUGGUGGAAGUCCGAAAUCGGUUCUGACGUCAAAUCGAUCGUCUGACUUGGGUAUAGGGGCGAAAGACU